ACCCCAGAACUCAGGGCUCCGGGAACAAUGCUGUGGUACCCACGUCUGCAAGGCUGCCGGGGUUUGGCCGACCCGGGGUUGGCUCGGUGGGGCCCCUGUGCUUCAGGUGGUGGCCGCUAGGGCUGUGUUAAUCGUGUUCCUCGGGGCCCACGGACGGGUGAGGUGGCGGGCACCGUCUGCUCGUGGCGAUGGCAGAGGGGCAGUGAAGCAAGUGAAAAUGCGUCCGGCCCCUGGCCGCCUGGCCACAUUCAGUUCCACGGCCAACCCCAAGUCAAGGGGCAGAGAAGCACGCCCCUGUCCCCUCUUUAGUGAGAGGAAUUGCAAACCGCGGGGCAGGCACAGGGGAACAAGGGUCAGAACCCAGGCCAGUCGUACCCCCACCACAGCGCCUUGUCCCUGGAGGCUCAUUUGGUGGAAUCUUCCUCCUGCCUGCUCUCUUUCUUGCAGGCAGUGGGAAAGCCUAGAAAUUGUCCCCCUGCCCCCAAUGCACCGUCCGCAUAGCCACGCUCUCACAUGGCACAGAAGCCAUCCAGCAGGCCACUCACAGUUUCAGAGAAAGUCUGUCCCACAUCACAUGUUUUCCAUUCGAUUCUCAAAAGCUUUGUAAAGGGAUUUUUUUUUCUAGAAAUGAAUGCCUCCCUCCACACUGAGAUCACAGCUUCAGUUGCUAAACUUUCUGAUAGAUUCUGAAACAUCCAGAUCACCCUCCUCACAGUGAGGGUUGCUCAUCGGUGACCCUUCCUCAUCUUGGGUGGCUUUGGUUCUCUUCAAACAGAUGAAGGAUGGGGUCCCCAGGCACCCCUGUAACUCUCGUUAACUCUGGGAAGGGGCCCUGGCUUCACCCUCCCACGAUGUGCCCUUAUCUCCCUUGCCACCAGGUGGCCCCACGGGCAACCUGGGCCCCAUCCUUUUCUCCCUUGGGGGCACUACCCUAGCUGAAAGACCGUUUGAGGAGCCAGCUCAUCUCUUGGUCCCUAAAACUGGUUGAGCAUUAGAAUCAUCUGGGGAAUUGAACCCCAAGUUCAGAUUCUUGGCAGGCCUUGAUGACUUCAGGGCAGAGCUGGUGAGAAAGCUUCUUUGGGAACCACUGGCCAGGAAUCACAGGCCUAGAUUCUAGACUCAUUUCUUGCUCUGACCUCCCUUCCCCAAGUUACCCCCCCAACUCUGGACCUCAGUGUCUUCAUCCAAAAAUGAGACGGUUGAUUUCUAGAUAAGAAUCUUGCCAUGCAAAGUGUGGUCCAUGGGGGAUUGCUAGAAACAGAAUUUGAGACUCCACCCCAGACCUGCUGAAUCCUAAUCUGCAGGUAAUUCCUGAAAGCGUUGAAUUUUGAGAAGCUCUGUUUUAUCAGGUACCUUCUAGGGCGAAGCCAAAGCAGGACCUUCAUACACCCCCAAAAGCUGGAAAGCUAGUUGCUCCCUCUUCUGUCCUCUUGGUGAAUGAUGCUGGCUUGAGGAUGAUGCAGGCAAAACGAAGCUGGCUUCCUUCUCUUCUUGUGUAGGUUUCCUCGGGUUUUUGUUCUACUGUGUUCCUAAACUUUCUUAGGUGGACUCUGGAGCUCCCCCAGAGCUCUCCUCUUUGUGGGUGGCAGUCUAAUCGGUGAUCUUUGUUGGGGGACAGAGAGGCUGGUGUCUCUUACAUCGCCAUUUUCUGUAGGUAGCUUCUAGAAGCCUCGAAUUCAGUCCCUGUGAAACCAUUUCUCUUCUCCUGUGCCUUCCCUGUUAUUCUCCCCCAAUUCGUUUUGUGAAAGCCUGUCUUGAAGAUGGUGCUGGUCCCUGGUCCCGCCAUAGUCCACAUUGCAGCUCACUCAUAUUGCCAGGUUCCAGAUUCUCUCUUGCCAAGGACCAAGAGGCAGGAAAACCGAAGAACCUUCCGAGCCAUGAGAAGUCAAGAAGAGAGCUGUAGUUAAAAUUCUAAGCAAGCCUCAUGCAAGUCUGGGUCACUAGACAUGUCAGGAUCACAAAAUAAAUCGAAUGUUACCAGAGCAGGGAGGAACAGAAAGCAAGUUAGGGAACCAACAGCAGGGAGAAUAGAAGCAUGCAGGAAACCUGCUUCCCGUUACUGCUUGUCAAAAAUACAGGCUGGUGUAUGCCCAGGAAAAGAGGUUAUAAAUUUCCCUUACUCCGUUCCUUUGCUGUUUUGAAGGGGAAUUUGCCGAGGACUUGGAACUGUGCUGAUUGGCAAUUUAUUUGUGAAUUGCUUUCUGAAAUGGCUUCUCUUCUUGGUUCUCUCCAGUUCACUACAAUGAACCAUCAGUUUGGGGGGAAAUUCCCUUUUCCUUCAAGCCACGCGCCCCACCCCACUCCACUCCAUCGUACCUCCUGCAAAGGAUAUGACCAUUUAAACGGCAGGCCCCUAAAGGUAACAAAAAGAAGAUCUACCCUCCUGUGCCCUCCUGGAGGCUGCUGAGUAUCCUCUGCCUCUCAUGGUAGCAUGUUGGCUAUUAUGUAUUCUCGUACGUUACUCUGUCAGGAAGCAUGGGCCCUUUGUGCAUCAAAACCAAAGGAUCAUCUUUUAUUCAUGUUUCAAGGCCUAAUCCAGGAGCCAAGGACCCUGCAGAACUCUGAGACAUUGGAUUGAGGGCACUUCCCAAACUUCUUCAGACCAAGGCGACAUCGUCCUGGUAGAAAACAAGCCAAGUGUCGACUCUGCCCUUGAACCGUUUUAAUCAGCAGUUGGUGGAACAGGUGCUGAGUGGGCUAAGCUCUUGGUGAUGAGGAUCACACGAGCUGGUGCGUGCAGUCCCCAUUCAGCAGAACCCUGACUUCAGCCAUUAUUCAUGCAGAACUGCUCUGUGAAGGGGUCAGCAGAGCUUGGCAUGUUCAAAAAGAUUUUACUACAGUAACAAAGAGGGAAACCAGGGGCCAACAUCUGAGUAACUUCUCCGAAACCACUCAGCAGUUAGCUAUCUCCGUCCAAAGAGGCCAGUGGAGAGACUGAGAUGCGUCUGCCCCAGGCACGGGGGACCCUCACUCGGCCUGUCACCUCCUCACCAACCAAGGACUCCACAGCAGGGACAGAGCACAUUCAAGCCAUGAUCCAGCAGAAGAUUGGAAGUUAAAAGAGAAACUCAUAAAAUGGAUCACUUUUCAGCGCGUCUUGCCUGUGAUGGACAGGGGCGUUUACGGCACCACCUGCAGAGGGCAGUGAAUGAGUUGAGACACCACAGUCGUUGAAGACGAUGGUUAAAAAGUGUCUUGUGCGGUGCUUCUCUACAGAGAGGCAGCAGAAGUUGGGAAAAGAAGGAUUCUCAAGUAGGUAUCCAGGCUCUCUGUGGGAGUCCCCUCUGAACUGCAGCCACACUGCCCUCUACUUGAUGAGUGCUCGGUGGUCAGACACUCAGAUGCAACCACAAAAGGUGCCGUGCAGAGCCCAGCUACCGGUGACUCCACAAUGGCCUCUGCCCUUGGGACCACUGUCUCCUAAAACAGGACUGAAGCCUGGAACAACACUGGACGCAAAAGGCGAACACCAAAACGAGAAUUCCAAAGUCAUUUCACUGCUAAGACACUCCUCCGUGUCUGCCCGCUGAAUCUGAGAGCCGAGCAGCCCGGCGGGUCACCUGCCGGGGGAAAGGCAGAGCACAGGGACGGCUCAUCGGGGUCCACGCCGACCACCCCAUUUCCUUUCGUCGCAGCCAGAAUGCCCUCUUCAGGACGCGUGCCUGCGUCAUGUGAAUCCCUCCACCCUGCCUGAAACUCCUUCAAGAGUUGGCCUCACUCUGACGACAGAGCCUGGCUUCCUGUGGGCCAGCGCCGCAGCCUGGAGGCCGGGUGCACGCACCCAGCAGGCUGAGUUCUGCCUUUUCAGAACGCUCCUCUCAACGCGGCCAUCGUGCAUCCAUUCCUGGGACUCUCCGCUGAGGGUGCGUCUUCCCCUGCUCCUUGAGGGCGGGGACAUUCGGCUUCAUUCACCCCUGCACCUCCAGCGCAGCCGCAGGUCCAGCAUGGAGUAGUAGCUCAGCGAUCUGUUUGUUCAGUAACCGUGAGGGUCCUUCGAGGUUACGUUCUCUCUCUCUCUCUCUCUCUCUCUCUCUCUCUCGCCCACUGGAGCCCUGGGUCUGUCUUUGCCCUUCAGUGACGUUGAAAUAACGGUAGCAGGCGCUGACAGAGUCGAGUCAGUGUGUCAGGCACUGUUGUGAGCACUUUGUGUACAGUUAGCCGUUUACUCGUUGCCUCGGUUUCCUCGUAACGGGCAGGUGACAUAAGGGUUGUAUUAGCUCGGUCCCGAGACCACACCGUCCAGGCUGCUGGCAGUUGGUAGCACUGCUCUUGAAACCCUUGCAGUCUGGCCCCACGGUCCACACCGUGAGCCACUGCUUCGUGCUACUCGGGAGCCGGAACGAAGGGGACAGGGCCGAACAGGGAAGUCCCCAGGGCUCGCUCCCAGGGACCGAGCAAAGCCGUCUCCAUUCUCAGAUCUUGCACCCUGGUGUCCUUAGACAGACAGACCAGGCAGUGCUCUCCCUGUUCAUGCCUUUCUAAAAGGUUAGAUCCUAACCUUGUUAAAAGCACCUCAGAGUGGAACCUGAUUAAAAACCUAAUAAAAUAAAAAACGAGGUCAAGUCCAGAGAGAGAAAACUGUUCACGAAGCAGAGGAAGUUCGACUUAAUUUUGUUGUUAAGCUGGUGAAUUCAUUUGAGGUUUGCACAGUUACCCCCAGAGGUCAGAGGCUGCAAAGGCAAAGGGGUGUGCUCUGAGAACUGCAUGCUUCUGAGAGCCGGCCUAGGGGGUACGACCCUCGGCUGGUCUGCCCAGUGCUUAGCGCCAGGCAAAGCCCUGUGCCUGGUCUACACUCCUCUGU
This is an RNA transcript of Leopardus geoffroyi (Geoffroy's cat), 4801 nucleotides long. RefSeq lists it as uncharacterized. NCBI's taxonomy places the organism in Eukaryota, Metazoa, Chordata, Mammalia, Carnivora, Felidae. The transcript is spliced from 9 exons. The record is from RefSeq and is a predicted model, not a curated record.